AAGUCAUCAUGGCCCUUACGACCAGGGCUACACACGUGCUACAAUGGCGCAUACAAAGAGAAGCGACCUCGCGAGAGCAAGCGGACCUCAUAAAGUGCGUCGUAGUCCGGAUUGGAGUCUGCAACUCGACUCCAUGAAGUCGGAAUCGCUAGUAAUCGUGGAUCAGAAUGCCACGGUGAAUACGUUCCCGGGCCUUGUACACACCGCCCGUCACACCAUGGGAGUGGGUUGCAAAAGAAGUAGGUAGCUUAACCUUCGGGAGGGCGCUUACCACUUUGUGAUUCAUGACUGGGGUGAAGUCGUAACAAGGUAACCGUAGGGGAACCUGCGGUUGGAUCACCUCCUUACCUUAAAGAA
RNAcentral lists this ribosomal RNA (357 nucleotides) under Escherichia sp. E1130. RNAcentral describes it as "bacterial SSU rRNA". It matches the Rfam family "Bacterial small subunit ribosomal RNA", at positions 1187 to 1533 of the family's 1533-position model. Lineage: Bacteria; Pseudomonadati; Pseudomonadota; Gammaproteobacteria; Enterobacterales; Enterobacteriaceae. The record is from RNAcentral.